This 394-nucleotide ribosomal RNA is filed under the name uncultured bacterium. RNAcentral's name for it is "partial 16S ribosomal RNA". It matches the Rfam family "Bacterial small subunit ribosomal RNA", at positions 523 to 918 of the family's 1533-position model. The record is from RNAcentral.
AUUCGUAGGGAGCGAGCGUUGUCCGGAAUUACUGGGCGUAAAGGGCGCGUAGGCGGCGCUUCAAGUCGUCUGUCAAAUGGGAGGGCUUAACCCUUUUUCGCAGACGAAACUGGAGAGCUUGAGAAGCAGAGAGGCAAACAGAAUUCCUGGUGUAGCGGUGAAAUGCGUAGAUAUCAGGAAGAACACCGGUGGCGAAGGCGGUCUGCUAGCUAUGAACUGACGCUGAAGCGCGAAAGCCAGGGGAGCAAACGGGAUUAGAUACCCCGGUAGUCCUGGCAGUAAACGAUGUAUGCUGGGUGUGGGCGUAGCGAUACGUCCGUGCCGAAGUUAACGCGAUAAGCAUACCGCCUGGGGAGUACGGUCGCAAGAUUGAAACUCAAAUGAAUUGGCGGGG